Molecule: non-coding RNA, 723 nt
Organism: Peromyscus maniculatus bairdii (prairie deer mouse)
Lineage: Eukaryota; Metazoa; Chordata; Mammalia; Rodentia; Cricetidae
Source: RefSeq, a predicted model, not a curated record
UGUAGAUUCCUGAGCAUUGCCUAACCUCAAGGAAUUGCACUCCUUGGGAGUGAGGCUCAGGAAUCUGCAUUUUAACAUGCCUCCUCACCCACAACCCAAGAUUCCCAUGCACAGUGAAGUUUAAGAACCAAUCGGACAAAAGCACUUCAGGAGAGGUAACGAGUUUUGACAGAAAGGCCGGAGGAGGGAAGGGCCCGGGGAUGGAAGAUGGGCACAGGAUGCCCUGGUGUGGCAGCAAUCAAGCGGGGUGCAUUUAAGGACAGGGCUUGGGCUAAGAGGCUGCUCCGACGCGAGGCAGCAUCCGCAGACUGGUCAAGAGGAUGGGGACGCGGGGAGAGAUGAACGAGAGGAGGAGCGAAGGCAGAAAUAACGGGGGGUUCUCGGAAGCAGACAAGGCCCGGAGGUCCGGUUCCCGGAGUCUCCUUCACUCACCAUCGCCGCCGCCAUCUUGGAUCCACGUGUCGCCGUGAUGACGUCAGCGGAAGUGGCGCUUCCGUGGGUACGGACUGUAAACUCCACGAGCGGGUCGUCUCGCUUCGGUUGCUUCUGUAGUCGCAGCAGUGAAGAGCCCCGUCUGUUUGCCUGCCGGCUUCCCCGUUUGGAAACCUCCACUUCUGAGCUGUAAAAACCUUUAUCUUCCUCAUGUCCAAAGCUGAUCGCCAGAUUUUAGGGAGAGACCGCCAAUGUACACGAAUAAAAAAGGCUUGCUUUGAUUAAUUUGUC